Molecule: transfer RNA, 53 nt
Filed under: Blicca bjoerkna (white bream)
Lineage: Eukaryota; Metazoa; Chordata; Actinopteri; Cypriniformes; Leuciscidae
Description: tRNA-Val
Source: RNAcentral
UCAGGGUGUGGCCGAGUUAGUUAAGCACCUCACUUACACCGAGAAGACAUCCA